UGGAAGAGCACUUUCUUAUUUCUGAACGUUGGAGCAGAAGCAAUGCUCAAAGACUGUCUGGUUCCUCUAAUUAUCUCUGCCAAGAAUGGAAAUACUGUUAAAACAUUGAGCGGAUUCAGUGCUUUAAGAAAAGUAUCAACUAUUGCAUCCUGCUGUACGGUUGCGAGUACAGUGCACAUUCUGCAGUGUUGUGAAGUGUUUCUGAAGUCCUGACUUUUCAAUGUUGGUAUGAUGAGUUGCUGAAAGUUUGAAUGUCGGAGUCGAAGCAGGAACGGUAGCUGUCCUACACCAGAUCCUGAAGAUUAACAUUUAUCAUGUUGAGAUUUGGGCAGCACCUCAUCAAGCCCUCGGUGGUAUUCCUGAGGACGGAGCUCUCCUUUGCCCUUGUGAACCGGAAGCCAGUGGUCCCAGGGCGUAUCCUUUCAACCAGAGCCUCAGUCAGGAGUGCGUAUGGGCCGCUCAGCGUUCUGUGGAAAAGAGGGAGGCACUCUUUGCGUUCUGAAGGCCAGUUCUGGCAGAAUUUCCAUUGAAGAUGGAAAGAAGAUGGAGCAGACUGGCUCUAUAAAGAACAGGUUUCUUUCACAAGUUUGGGUGAAAACCGUGGUGCUUACCAUGUACCUGAAGUUUUUAUUCUUCCUUAAGACACACCGCUGCUGUUUGUUGUUAGUUUGUACAUUGCACAUACCAAAUCUGUAUUUAUGCAUCAUAAUUAUGAAUUUUACACUUUUUAGUAUAAACAAGUGUUAAUGUUUGCAAUAAGACUGAGUUACAGAAAAUAAAAUUCAGUCAUAUUGCA
Molecule: long non-coding RNA, 796 nt
Organism: Struthio camelus australis
Lineage: Eukaryota; Metazoa; Chordata; Aves; Struthioniformes; Struthionidae
Source: Ensembl